ACGCUCGACACCUACGGGAGCAGCAGUGGGGAAUAUUGGGCAAUGGGCGCAAGCCUGACCCAGCAACGCCGCGUGAAGGAAGAAGGCUUUCGGGUUGUAAACUUCUUUUCUCAGGGACGAAGGAAGUGACGGUACCUGAGGAACAAGCCACGGCUAACUACGUGCCAACAGCCGCGGUAAUCUGAGCGGGCUGGCAAGGC
RNAcentral lists this ribosomal RNA (200 nucleotides) under uncultured bacterium. RNAcentral describes it as "partial 16S ribosomal RNA". It matches the Rfam family "Bacterial small subunit ribosomal RNA", at positions 328 to 539 of the family's 1533-position model. The record is from RNAcentral.